UGGAGGCAGCCGUGGGGAAUUUUGCGCAAUGGGAGAAACCCUGACGCAGCAACGCCGCGUGGAGGAUGAAGUCCCUUGGGAUGCAAACUCCUUUCGAUCAGGACGAUUAUGACGGUACCGAAAGAAGAAGCACCGGCUAACUCUGUGCCAGCAGCUGCGGUAAUACAGAGGGUGCAAGCGUUGUUCGGAACUAUUGGGCGUAAAGGGCGCGUAGGCGAUGCGGUAAGUCUGCAGUGAAAUCUCUGGACUCAACUCAGAGUCUACUAUGGAAACUGCCGUGCUUGAGUGUGGAAGAGGUGAGUGGAAUUCCCGGUGUAGCGGUGAAAUGCGUAGAUAUCGGAAAGAACACCUGUGACGAAAGCGGCUCACUGGACCACAACUGACGCUGAGGCGCGAAAGCUAAAAGAGCAAACAGGAUUAGAAACCCGAGUAGUCC
Molecule: ribosomal RNA, 436 nt
Filed under: uncultured bacterium
Lineage: Bacteria
Description: bacterial SSU rRNA
Rfam family: Bacterial small subunit ribosomal RNA
Source: RNAcentral